RNAcentral lists this ribosomal RNA (498 nucleotides) under uncultured bacterium. Its description in RNAcentral is "partial 16S ribosomal RNA". It matches the Rfam family "Bacterial small subunit ribosomal RNA", at positions 30 to 523 of the family's 1533-position model. The record is from RNAcentral.
AUUGAACGCUGGCGGCAUGCCUUACACAUGCAAGUCGAACGGCAACGCGGGGCAACCUGGCGACGAGUGGCGAACGGGUGAGUAAUGUAUCGGAACGUGCCCAGUUGUGGGGGAUAACUGCUCGAAAGAGCAGCUAAUACCGCAUACGACCUGAGGGUGAAAGCGGGGGAUCGCAAGACCUCGCGCAAUUGGAGCGGCCGAUAUCAGAUUGGGUAGUUGGUGGGGUAAAGGCCUACCAAGCCUACGAUCUGUAGCUGGUCUGAGAGGACGACCAGCCACACUGGGACUGAGACACGGCCCAGACUCCUACGGGAGGCAGCAGUGGGGAAUUUUGGACAAUGGGGGAAACCCUGAUCCAGCCAUGCCGCGUGCGGGAAGAAGGCCUUCGGGUUGUAAACCGCUUUUGUCAGGGAAGAAAUCCUUUGAACUAAUACUUCGGAGGGAUGACGGUACCUGAAGAAUAAGCACCGGCUAACUACGUGCCAGCCGCCGCAGUAA